Molecule: RNA transcript, 3059 nt
Organism: Eucalyptus grandis
Lineage: Eukaryota; Viridiplantae; Streptophyta; Magnoliopsida; Myrtales; Myrtaceae
Gene name: cell division cycle protein 48 homolog
Exons: 10
Source: RefSeq, a predicted model, not a curated record
CGCGGAAGCUACGUGCCCGUGCGGAAUUUGCAGAGCUGCGAAGGUGGGCAUCGGCCAUUGGUCGGGCACCACCUUCGCCAAAAACGGCAGCGAUGGACUUCCCUCCGGUUCUCGUCGUCCUAUCCCGAAGUUCACCUGCGAGAAGUCGAACUCCUCCCGUGGAGAGCAGAGAGCAGCUGUAAGGCAGCAGAGGCAUGGCGGAUCCUGGAGCGAGCCUUCCCUCUUCUUCUCUUGACGGUGGUAAGAAGGACUACUCCACUGCCAUUCUGGAGCGUAAGAAGUCUCCUAAUCGUCUGAUUGUGGAUGAAGCGAUCAAUGAUGACAAUUCUGUCGUUUCCAUGCACCCUUCCACGAUGGAGAAGCUUCAGUUAUUCAGAGGAGAUACAGUUUUGCUUAAGGGCAAGAAGAGGAGAGACACAGUUUGUGUUGUGCUUGCUGAUGAACAAUGCGAAGAACCAAAAAUUCGGAUGAACAAAGUUGUUCGGGCUAACCUCAAGGUGCGCCUUGGAGACAUCAUAUCUGUACAUCAAUGUCCUGAUGUAAAGUAUGGAAGGAAGAUUCAUAUUCUUCCGAUCGAUGAUACCAUUGAGGGAGUGACUGGCAACUUGUUUGAUGCAUUUUUGAAGCCCUAUUUCUUGGAAUCUUAUCGCCCUGUGAGGAAAGGUGAUCUUUUCCUUGUUAGAGGUGGUAUGAGAAGUGUUGAAUUUAAGGUAAUAGAGACGGACCCUGGCGAAUACUGUAUUGUUGCACCAGAUACUGAGAUCUUCUGUGAAGGAGAGCCCAUCAAACGGGAGGAAGAGGAGAGACUGACUGAAGUGGGCUACGACGAUGUUGGUGGAGUGAGGAAACAAAUGGCUCAGAUACGUGAGCUUGUAGAACUUCCUCUUAGACAUCCACAGCUGUUCAAGUCCAUUGGAGUGAAACCCCCCAAGGGUAUCUUGCUUUAUGGGCCACCUGGAUCUGGAAAAACAUUGAUUGCAAGAGCUGUAGCUAAUGAAACUGGUGCAUUCUUCUUCUUAAUCAAUGGACCUGAAAUUAUGUCAAAACUAGCUGGUGAGAGUGAAAGCAAUUUGAGGAAGGCUUUUGAGGAAGCUGAAAAGAAUGCUCCAGCAAUCAUUUUUAUUGAUGAACUAGACUCCAUUGCGCCAAAGAGGGAAAAAACACAUGGUGAAGUCGAAAGGCGGAUUGUUUCUCAACUUCUGACCCUGAUGGAUGGUCUUAAGAGCAGGGCACAUGUGAUUGUCAUUGGAGCUACCAAUAGACCCAAUAGCAUUGACCCUGCUUUGAGAAGAUUCGGAAGAUUUGAUCGGGAAAUUGAUAUUGGUGUACCAGAUGAGGUUGGGAGGUUGGAAAUUCUCAGAAUCCAUACAAAGAACAUGAAGCUUGCGGAUGACGUUGAUCUAGAAAGAGUGGCAAAAGAUACCCAUGGUUAUGUUGGUGCCGAUCUUGCUGCUCUUUGCACUGAGGCUGCUCUUCAAUGUAUCCGUGAGAAAAUGGAUGUGAUUGAUCUGGAGGACGAAACCAUUGAUGCUGAAGUUCUGAACUCGAUGGCUGUGACAAAUGAACACUUCAAAACUGCUCUGGUAGCUUCCAAUCCUUCAGCCUUGCGAGAGACGGUUGUGGAAGUUCCAAAUGUCUCCUGGGAUGAUAUUGGUGGUCUGGAUAAUGUCAAAAGAGAACUUCAAGAGACUGUCCAAUACCCAGUGGAGCAUCCUGAGAAAUUUGAGAAAUUUGGCAUGUCGCCUUCGAAGGGUGUUCUCUUUUAUGGUCCACCUGGUUGUGGAAAGACACUUCUAGCAAAAGCAAUUGCUAAUGAAUGCCAGGCAAAUUUUAUCAGUGUUAAAGGUCCCGAACUGCUGACAAUGUGGUUUGGAGAAAGUGAAGCAAAUGUGAGAGAGAUUUUUGACAAGGCGAGGCAAUCUGCUCCUUGUGUUCUUUUCUUUGAUGAACUUGAUUCCAUUGCAACUCAGCGUGGAAGCUCUACUGGUGAUGCUGGUGGUGCUGCAGAUAGGGUUCUGAAUCAGCUUCUAACAGAAAUGGAUGGAAUGACAGCGAAAAAAACAGUAUUCAUUAUAGGGGCAACAAAUAGGCCAGAUAUCAUUGACCCAGCAUUGCUCAGACCUGGACGAUUGGACCAAUUAAUUUAUAUUCCUCUGCCUGAUGAGGCUUCUCGUCUCCAGAUUUUCAAAGCAUGCUUGAGGAAGUCCCCUGUCUCUAGAGAUGUCGACUUGGCAGCUCUUGCCCGUUAUACUCACGGUUUCAGUGGUGCCGAUAUCAUAGAAAUAUGUCAGCGUGCUUGCAAGUAUGCUAUUAGGGAAAAUAUCGAGAAGGAUAUCGAAAGAGAGAGACGGGAGAGAGAGAACCCUGAAGCAAUGGAGGAGGAUAUUGCCGACGAUGUUUCUGAAAUUAAGGCAGCACACUUUGAGGAGUCGAUGAAAUAUGCGCGUCGAAGUGUCAGUGAUGCGGACAUCAGGAAAUACCAACUCUUUGCUCAGACUCUGCAGCAAUCCCGUGGUUUUGGAUCCGAGUUCCGGUUCCCUGACCGUCCUGAGAAUGCCGCUGCAGGACGAGCUUUCGACCCCUUUGCUUCUGCCAAUGCUGCUGGAGAUGAUGAUGAUCUGUACAGCUGAGCUUUAGACAAAUGCAAGUACCUGCUGCUCCAGUUUCUCCAGUUGUAAAACUUGCGGGUUUUUUCUUCCUCCUGGUAUGUGGGCAGAGCUACUUCUUAUGCGCCAUGUCAGUGUGCACCCUCUUUCAUGAUAAACUAGGAGCACGGAUCUGAGGCCUCGCAUGGCAUCUAUAACAGUGAGUAAUACGUACUUUUUUCGCUUUUUUUUUUCAGAACUGGGGUUGCUAAUCUGUGUCAUGGAUUGUAACUCUUGGCGGGUUUAUAUUUUUCUUAAAUGUAAAUAGUAAGUGCAUGGGAGGUUUUUCCUUCCCUUAACCAUGUAGCCUGUGACCAACACUUGGAAAAGGUGUGGCUUUUCUUUCUUUCUGUAUAAUAAAUAAAGUGGCCCUUUUGCCAAAGGGAAUGCGGCGAGAAACAGGGCUUUAUGGUA